Molecule: long non-coding RNA, 1450 nt
Filed under: Gallus gallus (chicken)
Lineage: Eukaryota; Metazoa; Chordata; Aves; Galliformes; Phasianidae
Description: lncRNA (ENSGALG00010008709.1)
Source: RNAcentral
UGGAUCUUCUCUAACUGCUACUCUUACAUAGCUUUCCAGUCAAGGAUGGUAAGGACCUCUGCGAGGGGAAGCCAGCAACCAUGUCUGCACUGAGAGCCUGCUCUUGGUGUCCCAGCUUGGGAGAUCUCCCUGAUGGGGGCCCUGGCCCCUUGCCUGGGAUGACUACCUUCAUUCCUCUGAUCAUAGCUGCCUGGCAUGCUCUCCUGCUUUUCAAGAUUAUUUUGCCUGCAAGGCGUCUCUCUAUAUUUACAUCACAUAGCAAUUUGUUCUGUCUUGUCUUGCUUCUCACCUUCUUAGGCACAGGAGGAAAGCAACUUAUUUCCUUGCUUCUUCUGACAAACACAUGCUCUCCAGAGCAGACAGAUGCCUUAAAAUCAGAUAUAGGGCAUCAGUUCAUCUUUUGGGUUCAGCUGUAGCAUAUAAAGCAUUUGCUGGCUCUGGUCUAAUGCUUUUUGACGUUGUCAGACCCUCUUCAGUUAACUUCUGCCUUGAAACCAACUUGACAGCAAGUAUUGUUCCACAUUUAUUAAUACUGUACAUGUCAUCUUCAGACUGACAUGUUUCAAAGCCAGGCAUCAGCUGUGUUCAGCUCUGGCUUGAAAAAAAAUAUGCAGACAACAGCACAGACCUCCUGCUACUAACAAGUAAAUAGAUAAAUAAGCUAGUAGAUCAAAGGGGAUAAUGAAGGAUGGCUGCACACACCAGAACCCAUUCAAUGUCAGCAGCAGGAUGACUGAGAGCAAGAUGGCUGGAAGGGAAAGGGACUGGGGACUGCCACCUCUCUUCUGGCAUUGGCACACAAUGAAAUUGUCUCAGGAUGUCUCAUGGAAGCACUGUCUUAAUGCAAGUACUUGUUAGAAGGAAAAUGGAAAUCAAAGACAGAACUGGAAAACCUCUGUGUCCUGUUUGGUGUUUCUUUGGAAGGUGUGGAUAUAUGGAGACAAGCUUGAGGGAUAGGAUCUCGUAUGUCUGCAGAGGAUUUAAUGGGUGAAAGAAGUGUGUGCAUAUGCAGCAGCUGCAGCACACACUGGAGCAAGUGGAUGUAUAAUCUAUUUGGAGAUAACUGGGUAGUUCUCUCACCAGUGUAUGGGGCUGACUGCAUGCUUAGUAGCUGCAAAGUAUGUUUACAGCAAGCGUGCUAUUUUUGAAGAGUUCUGUACUUAACAAUGCAUGGCAAGAGAGCACAGCACACAGCUGCUCCUGCUAGGCUGCUUCAUGUUCUGCAACUGCAGAGCACGCUUAGUCCUGACAUCUGAAGUUUCCAGACAUGAAGCAACAACUUCAGAAAAGUCUGCUUCCUAUAGCUAUCCAAAUUCCAGAAAGCUCAGAAAAAUUUAUGAACUUUUCAAAAUCUGCCUAAAUGGGAUUUCCAGACAGAAAGAGUAAAUGUGUUUGGGAAAAAGAUGCCUGCAACUUUCAGAAAGUCCUUCUCUACCUGUAGAAACCUGAG